CAAUAGCGUAUAUUAAAGUUGUUGCAGUUAAAAAGCUCGUAGUUGGAUUUCUGGUAGGAGUGACCGUUCCGAACUUGAUUGUUCGUGUAUUGUGUUUUCUCCAGCCAUCCUUGUGGAGAACUUUUCUUGCAUUAAUUUGUAGGGAUUGGGACCCGCAUCGUUUACUGUGAAAAAAUUAGAGUGUUAAAAGCAGGCAAUCGCUUGAAUACAUUAGCAUGGAAUAAUAAGAUAGGACUUUGGUACUAUUUUGUUGGUUUGCAUACCAAAUUAAUGAUCAACAGGAACAGUUUGAGGAUAUUCGUAUGAACAUGUCAGAGGUGAAAUUCUUGGAUUUUGAUCAGACGAACUACUGCGAAAGCAUUUAUCAAGGAUGUUCUCAUUAA
This 383-nucleotide ribosomal RNA is filed under the name uncultured eukaryote. RNAcentral describes it as "partial 18S ribosomal RNA". It matches the Rfam family "Eukaryotic small subunit ribosomal RNA", at positions 592 to 976 of the family's 1831-position model. The record is from RNAcentral.